CUUAAUUAAGUUCGCAGUUUCCACUGGUAUAAAAAUAAAAUUAAUUGCUUUACGUAACGCAUUUCUAUCUCCUUCUGGCGUGUGAUUGUUUAUUUUUUUUUUAAUGCUUAUUGUUCGUAUCGUUCGUGUUGUACUGAUAUCGAGCUGUGCAGAAUUUCUGUUGAUACAAAAUGUAUUAAAUUGUAUUACUGGUUGACAACUAACGUCUUUCAAAAGUCUUUCAAGCAGGUCUGGGAACAGAGGAAGCAAAGAAAAGCAUACAAUGUGCCAGCUACUUCUCCUGAGGCCCAGAGACUAACCUAUGUACACUACAUUAUCAACAAAUAAGAUAGGGAAAAAUAUCCAGGCGUACUAAAGAGCUACACACUUGUGACUGCCUACGUAGACACGUGCGUUACAAUCUAUGCAGGGUAUACUUCUAUACUAUUAUUAUAAAGAGGAGUUAAGAUAACAAUACUAUUUAAGCGGCUAUUAUUUGGUCUACCGCAGAAAGUUGUAUUAUUAACGAAGCUGGGUUUUUAAAUAUAUUUUAUACUAUUUAAGGACAAGUCGCCUGAAAAGUCUCUGCCUGAUUAUACGUCUCAUAUUAGCUCCAUCUUUCACCAAAACGUAUAGCAAAAAGGAUAUGGAAUAAUACUAAAAUGUUAUAAUAUCAACAUUCAACACGGAACUUGUUGUUUUCCAUAAGUUUUUACAUUGAUGUACGUCGACCAGUUGAUUCGAGGAUGGAGCUCAGCACGACGUAGUGCAACUGAACAAUGAAGCCGGACUCUAACGAAACAGUUACUUAACGGCAAUGGCAGCUUUAAAUACGCUUCAUCCAACCAACACAUAACACCGGGAAGGCCGAUAUACUGGGCCACGAUACACAACAGGCCACGAUAUACUGAAAUGAUGACAAAGUAAUUUAUGUAUAAUUAUAAUGGCAGCAUGUUAACUCUUAUAUCCACCGCGUAAAAGAUAAUCUACACUGACAUAUGUAUCCAUUUGUAAUGUAGAUAUACUAACAGAUAAACUCACAAUAGUCCUGCGUGUGUAGGAAACGAACAAUUGUGCAGUGUAAUCUCUGACCUAAAUACAAAAAAUUAUCCUGUUUUUCCAAAUAGGUAUUUAUUUUUCUUCUGAUGUAUUAAAUCCUGUCUGUUCAGGUUUUAUGAUUUGUACACUGGCCACUGAUAAAAGAAAAAAUUACAAUGUGUUCUUGGUUUAAAUAUUUUUUCAUAUUGACAUAUAAGAUUGCCGCCGAUUGUCUUUAACAUGUAAAAUUACGAUUUAUAUUUUGGAAGUUCAAUAUAAUUAUUUUCAUUACCACUACACGCUAGUUAUACUUAAUUCAUUACAGAUCAACUAUUUGAACACUGUCAUUAUAGUAUUACCUAUUUGAGAUCGAUCCGACCGAUCUGGCAUGAUAGGGACCAACACUGUUCAAAUGAGUUUCUUUCGGCAUUUCUUCUCAGCAGUGGUCGUUCCGAAAUGCCAGUAGUUUGUAGCUUGUGAGAAAUAACUAUAAAUAUAA
Molecule: long non-coding RNA, 1516 nt
Organism: Plodia interpunctella (Indianmeal moth)
Lineage: Eukaryota; Metazoa; Arthropoda; Insecta; Lepidoptera; Pyralidae
Exons: 4
Source: RefSeq, a predicted model, not a curated record